Molecule: RNA transcript, 3320 nt
Organism: Macadamia integrifolia
Lineage: Eukaryota; Viridiplantae; Streptophyta; Magnoliopsida; Proteales; Proteaceae
Gene name: chloride channel protein CLC-d
Exons: 24
Source: RefSeq, a predicted model, not a curated record
CACAGAGAAAGCCUGAGGAAGGCCUUUGUGCAUUGGCCAGUCGUGACCUUCCGUGAGGUCGAGCACGGUAACCCAGUUUCCGAUGAUCCUUCGUUGCAAAGCAAAAAGGAAAGCAGAACCAAUAAUAAUAAUCACUGUGACGGGAGAAAGCCAGAUAGGCACCGAAUUUCCAGUUCUUCAUUCUAUUCCCUUAAUCUCUCUCACCAUUCUCUUUCAAGCAGUUCAUGUUUCUGUAAUUUUACGAAUCGAUCUCAUGUUGCUUCAGUGUCAGAUCUGAUCCAAGCUCAGAAUUAUAGGUAUUGUAGAAUCCCUUCGAUGUUAUAUAGAGUGGGAGAUCGGCGGUAGUUCUUGUUCGGAACGAGACACAGUAACUUGGGAUCUUGUUUGAAUUUGGGGUUCUGGCUCUGAGUGGAGUUGGCUAUCUGCGCUCCGUAGUCGCGGAGGGCUUUGAAUCAUGUUGUCCAAUCAUUUUCAGAACGGGAUCGAGACGGCGAGGCUGGUUUGGUCUCGAUUGCCGAGUGCGGAGGAAGCUGAAGGUCAUGAUGGAGCUGACUUCACAAGUACGAGUUCUGGCGACGGCAUCGAGAGCCUAGACUAUGAAGUCAUUGAGAAUUACGCAUACAGGGAAGAACAGGCGCUGAGAGGGAAGCUGUUUGUUGGAUUUUAUGUGGCGCUGAAAUGGUUCCUUGCGUUGUUGAUCGGAAUAGGAACUGGAGUUGCAGCCAUUUUUAUUAAUAUUGCUGUUGAGAACUUUGCUGGAUGGAAGUUUUCAGCUACUUUUUCCAUAAUACAAACUUCAUACUUGGCGGGAUUUGUGGUUUACAUACUAUUCAACUUGGUUUUAGUCUUUUCAUCUGUAUAUAUCAUCACACAAUUUGCACCAGCCGCAGCGGGAUCUGGUAUUCCUGAAAUUAAGGGGUAUUUGAACGGAGUUGAUGCUCAUGGUAUCCUUCUUUUCAGAACAUUGAUUGGAAAGAUACUUGGUAGCAUUGGUUCAGUGGGAGGUGGUCUUGCUCUUGGCAAAGAAGGCCCUCUUGUACACACGGGUGCUUGUAUUGCGUCUCUACUUGGACAAGGUGGAUCUACGAAAUAUCAUCUAAGGUCAAGGUGGCUACAAGUGUUCCAGAGUGAUCGUGACCGUCGUGAUUUUGUAACCUGUGGAUGUGCAGCUGGAGUUGCUGCUGCAUUUAGAGCUCCAGUUGGUGGUGUGUUAUUUGCACUUGAAGAGGUCACAUCUUGGUGGAGGAGUCAACUUAUGUGGCGUGUCUUUUUCACAUCUGCUGUUGUGGCUGUUGUUGUUCGUACUGCAAUGGCUUGGUGUGGAAGUGGAAAGUGUGGGCAUUUUGGCUCUGGUGGUUUCAUAAUUUGGGACAUAUCCGGUGGUCAAGAGGAUUACUCAUUUGAGGAGUUAUUGCCUAUGGCUUUCAUUGGGGUCAUUGGAGGUCUUCUUGGUGCCUUAUUUAAUCAGCUAACUCUUUACAUAACUCGUUGGCGUCGUCAAUAUUUACACAAGAAAGGGAAUAGAGUCAAGAUUAUUGAAGUUUGCCUUGUCUCUCUGAUAACAUCAGCUAUUUCCUUUGGAUUACCACUUUUAAGAAAAUGCAGCCCAUGCCCGGAGACAGAAGCUAAUUCUGGUAUAGAAUGCCCACGCCCACCAGGAAUGUAUGGAAAUUAUGUCAGUUUUUACUGUGCUAAGGACAAUGAAUACAACGAUUUGGCGACUAUUUUUUUCAACACUCAGGAUGAUGCCAUACGCAAUUUAUUUAGUGCAAAAACAUUUCAUGAGUAUAGUGCUCAAAGUCUUCUUACCUUCUUGGUAAUGUUUUAUACCUUGGCUGUGGUGACGUUUGGUACUGCUGUUCCUGCUGGUCAGUUCGUUCCUGGAAUAAUGAUAGGAUCAACAUAUGGACGGCUUGUCGGCAUGUUUGUGGUUAAUUUCUACAAGAAGCUCAACAUUGACGAGGGAACGUAUGCUUUGCUUGGUGCUGCUUCUUUCCUUGGAGGUUCAAUGCGAAUGACAGUAUCCCUCUGUGUCAUUAUGGUUGAGAUCACGAAUAACUUGAAACUCUUGCCUCUUAUAAUGCUUGUUCUUCUAAUAUCAAAGGCUGUUGGUGAUGCUUUUAAUGAAGGUUUGUACGAAGUGCAGGCCCAAUUGAGGGGCAUUCCAUUACUUGAAUCAAGACCUAAAUACCAAAUGCGGAAUAUGACAGCGAAGGAAGCCUGCAGGAAUCAAAAGGUUGUGUACUUCCCUCGUGUUGUCAAAGUUUCCGAUGUAGUUUCUGUUUUGCGGAGCAGCAAUCACAAUGGCUUCCCUGUGGUAGAUCACCAUGGGGAUGGAGAGACACUUGUCAUUGGCCUCGUACUUCGUAGUCAUUUGUUGGUACUUCUGCAGUCUAAAGUUGAUUUCCAGCAUAGCCCUUUGCCUUGUGAUAUAAGAGGUGGAUCCGUACCGAUCAGGCACAACUUCAGUGAAUUUGUGAAACCUGUCUCCAGUAAAGGACUGUCGAUAGAUAAGAUUUAUUUAAGUCCUGAUGACUUGGAAAUGUACAUAGAUCUUGCACCUUUUCUGAACCCCUCUCCAUACAUUGUCCCUGAAGAUAUGUCUUUGACAAAGGUGUAUAAUCUUUUCCGCCAACUAGGGUUGAGACAUAUAUUUGUUGUUCCUCGUCCCUCUCGUGUUAUUGGCCUGAUUACUAGGAAAGAUUUAUUAAUUGAGGAAAAUGUGGAUCCGGACACUCUGGAGCUCCAAUCGACUAGUGUAAGGAUAAUUAGUUGCAAAAAACGGAAUUGAAUUGAGAGUGCGUCGGAUCCUGGCCAAUGCUUCUGAGUUCAAUUGAGCGUCCUGUGGAAGUUACAUCUCAAUAUGUGCAAUAUGAUGUACCGCAUGGGCAUGAAAGAAGAGUGGUCGGGAGGGAUUCAGAGUCAGAGCAUCCACUUCUUAAUGGUCUUUUGGUCCAAGAUUGAAGAUUAGAAAAGCCAAGGUGUUAAUGAAAAGUCAUUAUUUCUUCUACUACCCUGUUUUGAUAUGUGGUUCCUUCCCACUUUUUGCAUGCUGGGGCAGUAAUUAUAUCUAAUCACGUAUUUUGUAUCCAUUGAGAAACAAGAGGUCUAGGGUCACACAGAUUGUAGGGAACGCGGAGAGUUGUAUAUGUAGGGGAAAACCGUUUUAGGAAUCAAGUUUCUAGUUCUGACAGAUUUCCCCAUUAUUUUGGUGUGGGGUUGGGGGGUUGGGGAAAUGCAUAUAUUACUGCCAGUGUUUAAUAAUUCAUCUAAUCUUUCAUUAUUAUUCUUGAAUUGAAGACUGAAGGGGUUUUAUCGCA